CACUCACUGAGCCUCUUUGGGACUCCACCCACUCAAUGUGCCACCUCAACUACCUCAGUGGAAACACAAACUCUGCCUGACAUGAAAGACAGAGGAGCAUUGAGACCAGAGGAGGUGGGGUGGGGACAGAGUCACUCCCACAGAGGAGUGUCAGAGAGAGAAAACAGGCACACUGAAGUGGAGCACUCAGCAGAAAACUACAGAGUGUGUGUGUUUGUGUGUGUGUGUGUGUGUGUGUGUGUGUGUGUGUGAGAAACAUCAAACCAAAGAACAGGAACGAGAGGAGCAACAAACCAGAGAGCAAGUGACACACAGGGAGCAAACAGAAGAGCAGGGAGAGGGAUUUAAUUCUUCCUGUCAUCUCACAGAACAACAUCAGUACCUCCUAACACUAAUCUCAGCCUGACUGCUAAUCUGGAAGACACGCUGCAGGUUUCCAAAACAAACUAACAAAAGCACAGAGACUCACUCACAGAGCCUGACAGCUCAGGAGUUACCUGCCUUCUCCUCCUCCUCCUCCUCCUCCUCCUCCUCCUAACCAACAACAACUGGUCUGCUUACUCCGGCUCAGUCUGUGCCGGGCUCUGCGUGCGAGAACAACAAACUCUCACAGGAUGGACGCCAAAGAGGAAACGCUGACCCUCCUGAACAGAAUCUGGGUCAAGCUGCUGAAUCUGCCCAACGCCAGCCCGAUAGACCUGGGAGCUUUCUUCGUCCUCUUAGUCUUUAUCUUGGUGGUUGUGCUCAUGGUGGCGCUGACCUGCGUGACCUGCGGUUGCUGCUGCUGCUGCUGUCGCAAGACCAAGACGAAAGGAUCAAACCUCUGAGGGUUGUUUGUCAUGCAGCCCUGCACCCCUGCUGAGUGUCAGAGUCCUGUUUUUUAAAGUGUGAGACAUUUCAACAAGAGAUCGAGCCUCAGUCAGGGUGUGUUGAGUGCGAUCAGGGAAGCCCAACCCUUGAGCAACACACAAAGGAGGAUGUACUGACUCGCUGCCAAACACAGCCGCUAAAGAUGUCAGGGUUUUCAGGAGGAUCUGCAUUCCUAUGGGGAGUCCUUGCACCUUUGCAUCUCUGCAGGAUCACAACAAUGCUUUCAUCCUGUGGCAGAGGGAGGGUCAGCUUGAAGUAUGAGCAGAAACUAUGUGUGGAGAUAUUUACAGAAACAGAGUGUUGCACGGGGGGGGAGGGGGAAAGGAAGCCGUGUUGGUUUAUGAGUGUGUUUCUGUCUUACUUUAGAAUAUGCUGAGUUAGAUAAUGUCCUUAUCAAACAUCACAACAAAGCCUUACAGAGAGCUCAAGUCUGCCCUCUGCUGUGCACAAAUGGAACUGUUCUCAAGUUGUUUUGAAGCAAUGUAUGUAUGUUUUAAAGAAGUUGCACCUUGUGUAUGAAACUGCCUGAUAACUGUGUGCAAAGGGUGAAAGAGUGUAAUAAAAGAAUGAAACUUUGA
Notolabrus celidotus (New Zealand spotty) is the source of this 1448-nucleotide long non-coding RNA. RefSeq lists it as uncharacterized. Lineage: Eukaryota; Metazoa; Chordata; Actinopteri; Labriformes; Labridae. The record is from RefSeq and is a predicted model, not a curated record. The transcript is spliced from 3 exons.